RNAcentral lists this unclassified non-coding RNA (455 nucleotides) under Hevea brasiliensis (rubber tree). The record is from RNAcentral. Lineage: Eukaryota; Viridiplantae; Streptophyta; Magnoliopsida; Malpighiales; Euphorbiaceae.
GAUCCUUUGGCAGGUUCAAAGUUGGAGAUGAUAAAGAACAUCAGAGCACAAAGAGCUGCCACAGAAACCAAGAAAACUGAAGCCAUUGAACGAGCAAGGUUAGUAUGCUAGAGAAGAAGAAAUGACUUAUAAUAUGAACACAAAUAAAAGUGAGUUCACUGGCAUGCACGAUGAAGUUAUUGAGAACUCAUGGCUUAUCCAGUCACCAUUUUUUGCACUUGUAGCUGAUGCAAAAGUUAAAUAAGAUUUAACUUUUAAAUCCUUCCAAUUACUGUUGGAAAAGAAAGUUGUAGAUGGUGCAUGCCAGAAGAACCAUCUGCAUUUUCUCAGUUUCAUGAUAAUCACACUUUUUUACCGUAAUCUAGAUUUUCUGCCCUUGUAUUAUGCUGCUCAAUCAGAGAGAAAAUAUGCUUAUGUUUUCUGAUAUGCUGCAGGUUGUUAAUAGCUGAAGCUGA